GGUUUGGUAGCCUAGUGGUUAUGGUACACGUAUUAUGGCUGCGUGUAGCGGGUUCAAGUUCUGCUCUGACAA
This is a non-coding RNA of Trichonephila clavata, 72 nucleotides long. The record is from the annotation of a GenBank genome assembly. NCBI's taxonomy places the organism in Eukaryota, Metazoa, Arthropoda, Arachnida, Araneae, Nephilidae.